RNAcentral lists this ribosomal RNA (1441 nucleotides) under Azotobacter sp. RNAcentral's name for it is "partial 16S ribosomal RNA". It matches the Rfam family "Bacterial small subunit ribosomal RNA". Lineage: Bacteria; Pseudomonadati; Pseudomonadota; Gammaproteobacteria; Pseudomonadales; Pseudomonadaceae. The record is from RNAcentral.
CAAAGCCAACCGCAGCAGGGACCCUCGCAUCCCCAGCCAGCGGCGGACGGGUGAGUAAUGCCUAGGAAUCNUGCCCGAUAGUGGGGGACNAACGCGGCGAAACGAACGCUAAUACCGCAUACGUCCUACGGGAGAAAGUGGGGGACCCUCCGGACCCAACGCUAACAGAUGAGCCUAGGUCGGAUUAGCUAGUUGGUGGGGUAAAGGCCCACCNAAGGCGACGAUCCGUAACNUGGUCUGAGAGGAUGAUCAGUCACACUGGAACUGAGACACGGUCCAGACUCCNUACGGGAGGCAGCAGUGGNGGAAUAUUGGACAAUGGGCGAAAGCCUGAUCCAGCCAUGCCGCGUGUGUGAANGAAGGUCUUCGGAUUGUANAAGCACUUUAAGUUGGGAGGAAGGGCGCUAAGCGAAUACCCAACAGUCUUGANCGUUACCGACAGAAUAAGNCACCGGCUAACUUCGUGCCAGCAGCCGCGGUAAUACGAAGGGUGCAAGCGUUNAAUCGGAAUUACUGGGCGNUAAAGCGCGCGUAGGUGGUUCGGCAAGUUGGAUGUGAAAGCCCCGGGCUCAANCCUGGGAACCGCAUCCAANAACUACCGGACUAGAGUACGGUAGAGGGUGGUGGAAUUUCCUGUGUAGCGGUNGAAAUGCGUAGAUAUAGGNAAGGAACACCAGUGGCGAAGGCGACCACCUGGACCGAUACUGACACUGAGGUNGCGAAAGCGUGGGGAGCANAACAGGAUUAGAUACCCUGGUAGUCCACGCCGUAAACGAUGUCGACUAGCCGNUUGGGCUCCUUGAGAGCUNUAGUGGCGCAGCUAACGCAUUAAGUCGACCGCCUGGGGAGUACGGCCGCAAGNGUUAAAACUCAAAUGAAUNUGACGGGGGCCCGCACAAGCGGUGGAGCAUGUGGUUUAAUUCGAAGCAACGCNGAAGAACCUUACCUGGCCNUUGACAUCCUGAGAACUUUCAAGAGAUGGAUGGGUGCCUUCGGGAACGCAGAGCACAGGUGCUGCAUGGCUNGUCGUCAGCUCGUGUCGUGAGAUGUUGGGUUAAGUCCCGUAACGAGCGCAACNCCUUGUCCUUAGUUACCANGCAACUCGGGCGGGCACUCUAAGGAGACUGCCGGUGACAAACCGGAGGAAGGNUGGGGAUGACGUCAAGUCNAUCAUGGCCCUUACGGCCAGGGCUACACACGUGCUACAAUGGUCGGUACAAANGGGUUGCCAAGUCGCGAGNGCGGAGCCAAUCCCAGAAAACCGAUCGUAGUCCGGAUCGCAGUCUGCAACUCNGACUGCGUGAAGUCGGAANUCGCUAGUAAUCGCGAAUCAGAAUGUCGCGGUGAAUACGUUCCCGGGCCUUGNUACACACCGCCCGUCACANCCAUGGGAGUGGGUUGCUCCAGAAGUAGCUAGUCUAACCCUCGGGAGGACGGUUAC